This 478-nucleotide ribosomal RNA is filed under the name uncultured bacterium. Its description in RNAcentral is "partial 16S ribosomal RNA". It matches the Rfam family "Bacterial small subunit ribosomal RNA", at positions 28 to 523 of the family's 1533-position model. The record is from RNAcentral.
GACGAACGCUGGCGGCGUGCUUAACACAUGCAAGUCGAACGGUAAGGCCCUUCGGGGUACACGAGUGGCGAACGGGUGAGUAACACGUGGGUGAUCUGCCCUGCACUUCGGGAUAAGCCUGGGAAACUGGGUCUAAUACCGGAUAGGACCACUGCCUGCAUGGGUGGUGGUGGAAAGCUUUUGCGGUGUGGGAUGGGCCCGCGGCCUAUCAGCCUGUUGGUGGGGUGAGGGCCUACCAAGGCGACGCCGGGUAGCCGGCCUGAGAGGGUGACCGGCCACACUGGGACUGAGAUACGGCCCAGACUCCUACGGGAGGCAGCAGUGGGGAAUAUUGCACAAUGGGCGCAAGCCUGAUGCAGCGACGCCGCGUGAGGGAUGACGGCCUUCGGGUUGUAAACCUCUUUCAGCACCGACGAAGCGCAAGUGACGGUAGGUGCAGAAGAAGGACCGGCCAACUACGUGCCAGCAGCCGCCGUAA